UGAUUCCAUCACUCCCCAAAGCUUGUCAGCAUCCAAGCCUUUAGCAUGUGGACUCACUGUUCCUAGAGUACAGCAUGUUAUGAAGAAGCCUCAGAUCCCCCCAACCCCUGGAAGGUACUACCAGUUCUCUCCAUUUC
This is a long non-coding RNA of Fukomys damarensis (Damara mole-rat), 137 nucleotides long. RefSeq lists it as uncharacterized. The transcript has 3 exons. The record is from RefSeq and is a predicted model, not a curated record. NCBI's taxonomy places the organism in Eukaryota, Metazoa, Chordata, Mammalia, Rodentia, Bathyergidae.